Coregonus clupeaformis (lake whitefish) is the source of this 572-nucleotide long non-coding RNA. RefSeq lists it as uncharacterized. NCBI's taxonomy places the organism in Eukaryota, Metazoa, Chordata, Actinopteri, Salmoniformes, Salmonidae. The record is from RefSeq and is a predicted model, not a curated record. The transcript is spliced from 3 exons.
CAGGUCUACACAAAACUGGUUUUUGAGGCAGUAGUGUCCCACCAGAUGCAAGCAAUGGGAAAUCAGGAGGAAGACGAGGGAAGCUCAAGCACAAAGCUGUCAGGAUUCAAUGAAGAGACCACAGCUCCAAAUGAGUCACCUCCUUGUAAGAAGAAAGCCUUAGAUGCGCUGUUUGGCGAUUCCUUCACCCAAAGAGAAAGAAAAUCCACAAGCGAGACAGCCAGAGCAGAGGUGUUAAAGUACCGAGCAAAAGAUGCGUUGCCUUUGACUGAAAAUGCCAUGAAGUGGUGGAGAUCUCAGGAGAAAGAGCUACCUGUACUUUCCACCCUUGCUAAACGGUACCUGUGCAUUCCAGGCACCAGUGUGCCAGCAGAACAAGUUUUUAGUACUGCUGGCGACAUAGUGAACGCACAGAGAAGUGUUCUGCAGCCAGAUCAUGUUGAUCAGUUGAUAUUUUUGAAAAAAAAUCUGUAGUCAUUGAAGAGUAGCCUAGUAGGUUACACUUGAUCUUUUGUUGAAUAUUGUUUGUUUAUUAAAAUGAGAGUAGUAGCAGGUUCAUCCACUGCUCAUUC